Molecule: ribosomal RNA, 1151 nt
Filed under: Curtobacterium sp.
Lineage: Bacteria; Bacillati; Actinomycetota; Actinomycetes; Micrococcales; Microbacteriaceae
Description: bacterial SSU rRNA
Rfam family: Bacterial small subunit ribosomal RNA
Source: RNAcentral
CUUAMCAUGCAAGUCGAACGAUGAUGCCCAGCUUGCUGGGUGGAUUAGUGGCGAACGGGUGAGUAACACGUGAGUAACCUGCCCCUGACUCUGGGAUAAGCGUUGGAAACGACGUCUAAUACUGGAUAUGAUCACUGGCCGCAUGGUCUGGUGGUGGAAAGAUUUUUUGGUUGGGGAUGGACUCGCGGCCUAUCAGCUUGUUGGUGAGGUAAUGGCUCACCAAGGCGACGACGGGUAGCCGGCCUGAGAGGGUGACCGGCCACACUGGGACUGAGACACGGCCCAGACUCCUACGGGAGGCAGCAGUGGGGAAUAUUGCACAAUGGGCGAAAGCCUGAUGCAGCAACGCCGCGUGAGGGAUGACGGCCUUCGGGUUGUAAACCUCUUUUAGUAGGGAAGAAGCGAAAGUGACGGUACCUGCAGAAAAAGCACCGGCUAACUACGUGCCAGCAGCCGCGGUAAUACGUAGGGUGCAAGCGUUGUCCGGAAUUAUUGGGCGUAAAGAGCUCGUAGGCGGUUUGUCGCGUCUGCUGUGAAAUCCCGAGGCUCAACCUCGGGCUUGCAGUGGGUACGGGCAGACUAGAGUGCGGUAGGGGAGAUUGGAAUUCCUGGUGUAGCGGUGGAAUGCGCAGAUAUCAGGAGGAACACCGAUGGCGAAGGCAGAUCUCUGGGCCGUAACUGACGCUGAGGAGCGAAAGCAUGGGGAGCGAACAGGAUUAGAUACCCUGGUAGUCCAUGCCGUAAACGUUGGGCGCUAGAUGUAGGGACCUUUCCACGGUUUCUGUGUCGUAGCUAACGCAUUAAGCGCCCCGCCUGGGGAGUACGGCCGCAAGGCUAAAACUCAAAGGAAUUGACGGGGGCCCGCACAAGCGGCGGAGCAUGCGGAUUAAUUCGAUGCAACGCGAAGAACCUUACCAAGGCUUGACAUACACCGGAAACGGCCAGAGAUGGUCGCCCCCUUGUGGUCGGUGUACAGGUGGUGCAUGGUUGUCGUCAGCUCGUGUCGUGAGAUGUUGGGUUAAGUCCCGCAACGAGCGCAACCCUCGUUCUAUGUUGCCAGCGGGUUAUGCCGGGACUCAUAGGARACUGCCGGGUCACUCGGAGRRARGGUGGGGAUGACGUCAAUCAUCAUGCCCCUUAUGUNUGGGCUU